RNAcentral lists this ribosomal RNA (915 nucleotides) under Pseudomonas oryzihabitans. RNAcentral's name for it is "bacterial SSU rRNA". It matches the Rfam family "Bacterial small subunit ribosomal RNA", at positions 47 to 957 of the family's 1533-position model. The record is from RNAcentral. Lineage: Bacteria; Pseudomonadati; Pseudomonadota; Gammaproteobacteria; Pseudomonadales; Pseudomonadaceae.
CCUAACACAUGCAAGUCGAGCGGAUGAGAGGAGCUUGCUCUUCGAUUCAGCGGCGGACGGGUGAGUAAUGCCUAGGAAUCUGCCUAGUAGUGGGGGACAACGUUUCGAAAGGAACGCUAAUACCGCAUACGUCCUACGGGAGAAAGUGGGGGAUCUUCGGACCUCACGCUAUUAGAUGAGCCUAGGUCGGAUUAGCUAGUUGGUAGGGUAAAGGCCUACCAAGGCGACGAUCCGUAACUGGUCUGAGAGGAUGAUCAGUCACACUGGAACUGAGACACGGUCCAGACUCCUACGGGAGGCAGCAGUGGGGAAUAUUGGACAAUGGGCGAAAGCCUGAUCCAGCCAUGCCGCGUGUGUGAAGAAGGCCUUCGGGUCGUAAAGCACUUUAAGUUGGGAGGAAGGGCUCAUAGCGAAUACCUGUGAGUUUUGACGUUACCAACAGAAUAAGCACCGGCUAACUUCGUGCCAGCAGCCGCGGUAAUACGAAGGGUGCAAGCGUUAAUCGGAAUUACUGGGCGUAAAGCGCGCGUAGGUGGCUUGAUAAGUUGGAUGUGAAAUCCCCGGGCUCAACCUGGGAACUGCAUCCAAAACUGUCUGGCUAGAGUGCGGUAGAGGGUAGUGGAAUUUCCAGUGUAGCGGUGAAAUGCGUAGAUAUUGGAAGGAACACCAGUGGCGAAGGCGACUACCUGGACUGACACUGACACUGAGGUGCGAAAGCGUGGGGAGCAAACAGGAUUAGAUACCCUGGUAGUCCACGCCGUAAACGAUGUCAACUAGCCGUUGGGAUCCUUGAGAUCUUAGUGGCGCAGCUAACGCAUUAAGUUGACCGCCUGGGGAGUACGGCCGCAAGGUUAAAACUCAAAUGAAUUGACGGGGGCCCGCACAAGCGGUGGAGCAUGUGGUUUAAUUCGAAGC